UUUACCCUAUUCUUAGUAUUAAUUUAUUGGUUAUUUUGUGUGCAUUUUGAUAAUUUGUUAUGUAUUUUCAAUAUCGGACAUUCGAUUUCCUCUUGAGCAUAAAGUGAUCAAACGGAUGAAUUUUGGAGUGAUUCUAAUUGGAGGAGGUUCGUGAGUCUUUCAAGAUGAUUAUGUCAAAAUUCCAGAAUUUUCUACCAAGUCGUUUGACCGUGGUGAUGAAAUAAAGUCUCAAUGCGCAGCUUUCCGAGAUUGACGUUUCUGGACGUUUUAGGUAUUUUGGAGGUCAAGAUGGCAUAUUUUGAGGAAGAUUUAUUCUGAGGAUUUGUAGGGGACAUCUUCAAAUUUCAAAAGAAACCUUUUGGGACCAAAUUGGAGUUGAGUUUGUCAGUCAAAAUGAU
Molecule: long non-coding RNA, 398 nt
Filed under: Malus domestica (apple)
Lineage: Eukaryota; Viridiplantae; Streptophyta; Magnoliopsida; Rosales; Rosaceae
Description: long non-coding RNA (MDOM_LNC009413)
Source: RNAcentral